ACGGUCCUAAGGUAGCGAAAUUCCUUGUCAGGUAAGUUCUGACCCGCACGAAAGGUGUAACGAUCUGGGCACUGUCUCAACAACCCGCCCGGCGAAAUUGUAGUACCGGUGAAGAUGCCGGUUACCCGCGACUAGACGGAAAGACCCCAUGGAGCUUUACUGUAGCCUAAUAUUGGAUUUCGGUAUUUCACGUACAGGAUAGGUGGGAGACUGGGAAGCACAGGCGUCAGCUUGUGUGGAGUCGACCUUGGGAUACCACUCUUGGAGUGCUGGAAUUCUAACCUGCGGCUUUGAAGCAAGUCGAGGGACAUUGUUAGGUGGGCAGUUUGACUGGGGCGGUCGCCUCCUAAAGAGUAACGGAGGCGCUCAAAGGUUCGCUCUGCAUGGAUGGAAACCAUGCGUCAGAGUGUAAACGCAAAAGCGAGCCUAACUGCGAGAAUGACGGUUCGAGCAGUAACGAAAGUUGGAGUUAGUGAUCCGGCGGUAUGUGAAUGGAAAUGCCGUCGCUCAACGGAUAAAAGCUACCCUGGGGAUAACAGGCUGAUCUCCCCCAAGAGUCCACAUCGACGGGGAGGUUUGGCACCUCGAUGUCGGCUCAUCGCAUCCUGGGGCUGUAUUCGGUCCCAAGGGUUUGGCUGUUCGCCAAUUAAAGCGGUACGCGAGCUGGGUUCAGAACGUCGUGAGACAGUUCGGUCCCUAUCUGUCGUGGGCGUAGGAUAUUUGCAAGGAGCUGUCCCUAGUACGAGAGGACCGGGAUGGACGCACCUCUGGUGCACCAGUUGUCACGCCAGUGGCACAGCUGGGCAGCUAUGUGCGGAACGGAUAAACGCUGAAGGCAUCUAAGCGUGAAGCCGCCCUUAAGAUAAGAUAUCCCUUCUGUUUACAGAGUAAGACCCCUUGAAGACUACAAGGUUGAUAGGCUCAAAGUGUAAGCACGGUGACGUGUUUAGCUAGCGAGUACUAAUCGGUCGAGGGCUUAACCUU
This 984-nucleotide ribosomal RNA is filed under the name human gut metagenome. Its description in RNAcentral is "bacterial LSU rRNA". It matches the Rfam family "Bacterial large subunit ribosomal RNA", at positions 1945 to 2925 of the family's 2925-position model. The record is from RNAcentral.